ACUCCUGCGUGAGCGUCGAACACCCCAAACCACAUUCAACCAGACAAUUCUAUAGAAAAAUCAAGCCAGCUUAUAUCCUGCUGGCGCCUCUCCCAGCUUCACCAUCACUUUCCCCGUGUUCAACCCCCUCGUCAAG
RNAcentral lists this non-coding RNA (136 nucleotides) under Chromera velia. Lineage: Eukaryota; Chromeraceae. The record is from RNAcentral.